RNAcentral lists this ribosomal RNA (441 nucleotides) under uncultured bacterium. Its description in RNAcentral is "partial 16S ribosomal RNA". It matches the Rfam family "Bacterial small subunit ribosomal RNA", at positions 338 to 795 of the family's 1533-position model. The record is from RNAcentral.
CCUACGGGAGGCAGCAGUGGGGGAUAUUGCACAAUGGGGGGAACCCUGAUGCAGCGACGCCGCGUGGGUGAAGGAGUGCUUCGGCAUGUAAAGCCCUAUCGGCAGGGAAGAAGAAAGACGGUACCUGACUAAGAAGCCCCGGCUAACUACGUGCCAGCAGCCGCGGUAAUACGUAGGGGGCGAGCGUUAUACGGAUGCACUGGGUGGAAAGGGAGCGUAGACGGCCAAGCAAGCCAGGGGUGAAAGCCCGGGGCACAACCCCGGGACUGUCCUUGGAACUGGAUGGCUGGAGUGCGGGAGGGGCAGGCGGAAUUCCUGGUGUAGCGGUGAAAUGCGUAGAUAUCAGGAGGAACACCGGCGGCGAAGGCGGCCUGCUGGACCGCGACUGACGUUGAGGCUCGAAAGCGUGGGGAGCGAACAGGAUUAGAUACCCCAGUAGUC